CAAGUCGACGGCAGCGGGGUAGUGCUUGCACUACUGUCCGGCGAGUGGAGAACGGGUGAGUAAUAUAUCGGAACGUACCGAGUAAUGGGGGAUAACCAAUCGAAAGAUUGGCUAAUACCGCAUACGUCCUAAGGGAGAAAGCGGGGGAUCGCAAGACCUCGCGUUAUUCGAGCGGCCGAUAACUGAUUAGCUAGUUGGUGGGGUAAAGGCCUACCAAGGCGACGAUCAGUAGCGGGUCUGAGAGGACGAUCCGCCACACUGGGACUGAGACACGGCCCAGACUCCUACGGGAGGCAGCAGUGGGGAAUUUUGGACAAUGGGGGCAACCCUGAUCCAGCCAUGCCGCGUGUAUGAAGAAGGCCUUCGGGUUGUAAAGUACUUUUGUUAGGGAAGAAAAGGGAAGUGCUAAUACCACUUUUUGCUGACGGUACCUAAAGAAUAAGCACCGGCUAACUACGUGCCAGCCGCCGCGGUAAA
This 477-nucleotide ribosomal RNA is filed under the name Eikenella corrodens. RNAcentral's name for it is "bacterial SSU rRNA". It matches the Rfam family "Bacterial small subunit ribosomal RNA", at positions 58 to 524 of the family's 1533-position model. The record is from RNAcentral. Lineage: Bacteria; Pseudomonadati; Pseudomonadota; Betaproteobacteria; Neisseriales; Neisseriaceae.